AGGAGAGUUUGAUCCUGGCUCAGGAUGAACGCUAGCGACAGGCCUAACACAUGCAAGUCGAGCGGCAGCACCUCGGGUGGCGAGCGGCGCACGGGUGAGUAACGCGUAUGUAACCUGCCCAUGAGUGGGGGAUAGCCCGGUGAAAACCGGAUUAAUACCGCAUAAUGCCAUUAUUAGACAUCUUAGAAUGGUUAAAGAUUCAUUGCUCAUGGAUGGACAUGCGUUGGAUUAGCUGGUUGGCGGGGCAACGGCCCACCAAGGCGACGAUCCAUAGGGGUUCUGAGAGGAAGGUCCCCCACAUUGGUACUGAGACACGGACCAAACUCCUACGGGAGGCAGCAGUGAGGAAUAUUGGUCAAUGGGCGGAAGCCUGAACCAGCCAAGUCGCGUGAAGGAUGAAGGCAUUACGUGUUGUAAACUUCUUUAGCUGUGGAGAAAUAAGGUGGUCGUGACCACCGAUGCUAGUACACAGAGAAUAAGGAUCGGCUAACUCCGUGCCAGCAGCCGCGGUAAUACGGAGGAUCCGAGCGUUAUCCGGAUUCAUUGGGUUUAAAGGGUGCGCAGGCGGUGCCUUAAGUCAGCGGUAAAAUCGUGGGGCUCAACCCCAUCCCGCCGUUGAUACUGGGGCACUUGAUUACGGUCGAGGCAGGCGGAAUUCGUCGUGUAGCGGUGAAAUGCAUAGAUAUGACGAAGAACACCGAUUGCGUAGGCAGCCUACCAGGCCGUUAAUGACGCUCAUGCACGAAAGUGCGGGGAUCGAACAGGAUUAGAUACCCUGGUAGUCCCCU
Molecule: ribosomal RNA, 788 nt
Filed under: uncultured Bacteroidota bacterium
Lineage: Bacteria; Pseudomonadati; Bacteroidota
Description: bacterial SSU rRNA
Rfam family: Bacterial small subunit ribosomal RNA
Source: RNAcentral